Panicum virgatum (switchgrass) is the source of this 903-nucleotide long non-coding RNA. RefSeq lists it as uncharacterized. The record is from RefSeq and is a predicted model, not a curated record. The transcript has 4 exons. NCBI's taxonomy places the organism in Eukaryota, Viridiplantae, Streptophyta, Magnoliopsida, Poales, Poaceae.
UGGGGGCCAGAGGCCUCGGAGCUCUCAGGAUUAUUCUACACGAGCUCAACAAUGGCGUCGCCUCCCCCGCUCUAGAUCCGUUUUUUCCGGAAGAUGGUCAAGAAUAACAAUGUCGUCUCCAAGCACGGAGCACCUGAACCGGGGAGCGUCCGAGCAGCAAAUGGCAACCAAGCAACCAGAACAAGCUAUGGGAUUUCUUUCCGUAGAAGAUUCAGCUAUUCUAAACUGCUACCCAUUCGUCUUGCAUUCAGCAUCGCAGAACCAGUCUGGUAGUUGAAGUGGUGCGGGGAUGACAUUCCAGGAUAUGGUAAUCAGAGCUAGUAAAGCUGUGCUCACCUAUGCAGCUGCUCAGCAAACUGAUGACUCGAUGCCUGAAGAACAAGGGCUGACUUCAAUUCAUUCAGAAGUUCCUCUGAAUGUAACAAUCUCCCCUGCUGAGCUUGAGUCACCUAUGGAAGGUGCUGCCAACUCAAAUUGCGAGGAAGGCAAUUGCAGAAACUCGACAACAAUUACAGCCGCAGAGCUAGAUAUACACCAAGAUGGUUCAGUGCCAUAUGCACUACAAAAUGAAGAGCAAACUAAUGUUUCAAACAACCCUACAAGCUUAAGUUCAGAUCUUGGAGCGCAGCCAUGGCCUAAGGGGUAUGCAUGUGUUGGAGCUCAACAACAUUGACAAUAAAGAAUUACCGUAAUGGUAUAACAAAGAUUUUGCGAUAUAGUUGCUGAGGUUUUGACAUAGUAGUACUAUUAGCAGUACAAUGAUCAAAGCAUAGUUGAUGAAAUGAAUACAUAGUCUGAUCGAAAAGACGAAAGGACACAAUGGUUCAAAAGCCAUGUAAACAACUGGCAUAUAACAUGCCACUGGUUUCACACAAAAUCAAAAGAACCAAGCAGCAUUGACUA